GUCAGCGAGUCGUGUUGUUCGUCGAUGUGCGCUAAUGUUUACAUUAUUUUGUGUUUCGUGCGGUAUUGCGUUAGAGUUCAAGUCAGCUAUUCGCCUGAGAUGGAGUCAUCGUUGUAAGAUGCUGUCUGCACUGACGGCUGUCAGACCAUAAGUGAUCCAUGGACACUGAGUGAGGGAGUUAGAUACAGCCAGUGGCGGCUCGUCAAUAGGGACUGUGAGUCUGCAGCCCCCCCUAUCAGACGCCAGCCACACAUAACGUCAUAACACAAACAAACACAUGGACAUGCAUGUGAAGAAACUCAUCACUGUGUCAGAGUGCUGAACUUAACAUUACACACAGUGAUACAAACGCCCUAGAACCAUGCAAAUUACAUUAAACACAACAUAAUUUUACGAAUGCGGGGAGAAAGGGGGAGGGCUUCCCGCGGCGGAAAGGAGAGCGUGGACUGCCGCCGACACAGUCUUGUCUCAGCUGUUGUUGUGAAUGGGUUGGCCUAGCAUUAUUUUGCAAAAUGGCACAAGAAGCAAAGACGGUUUCUGCACUGAAAGAACUAAAUUUUUCACUGUUAACACUUCAAGAGAAGGUAGCAAUUAAACAAGCAGGUCGCCCAUUACCAGAAAUUAAAAUUGUUCAAGAAGGAGUAAGCCACAACAAGAAGUAUAUUCGCAGUUUUAAUUGUGAUUGGUACCAAAGGAAAACAUGGCUUUGUGGAUGUGAAGUUAAGAAUGCACUAUUUUGCUUUCCAUGUCUGUUGUUUGGAGGCGAUUCAGUAUGGUCCAAAGAUGGUUUUGCAUACAUAAAGAACUUGAAAGAAAAAACAGAGAAACACGAGAAUUCCAGGAAACAUAUAGAUAAUGUCAUUUCUCUAUCUGUUCUUGGGAGUGUAAAUAUUAAAGAAAGACUUAGUGAGGCAUACAGACUUUCAGUGAACGCACAUAAUAAGAAGGUUACCAAGAAUCGUGAAAUUUUGUCCAAGAUUAUAGACUGCAUAAAAUUUUGUGGACAUUUUGAGCUACCUUUGGGUGGACAGGAUGAAACUGAUGACUCUGCUAAUCCAGGUGUAUUUAAAGGACUGAUAAAUCACGCAUCACAAUUAGAUCCAGACUUGCGGGCCCAUUUAGAAAGUAAUGCAGUCUUCAAAGGUGUCUCCAAGACUAUUCAGAAUGAA
Molecule: long non-coding RNA, 1169 nt
Organism: Macrobrachium nipponense
Lineage: Eukaryota; Metazoa; Arthropoda; Malacostraca; Decapoda; Palaemonidae
Exons: 4
Source: RefSeq, a predicted model, not a curated record